CGCCCAAUUACUUCGGGCGUUAAGUACAUGCUCGCCUCUUUAUAAACCGAAAGUUUCCACUUCGCGAGUAAACAGUGAACUCGAAAAUUUCGACGUCGUCUUAGAAAUCAAUCUAUACAGUGGUUUUACAUACAAACUGAGUCUUGACUUAAGAUGGAGGAGCAACCUGCAGACAGGAUGCUUAAAGUGAAAUACGAUCCAGUUCAUGGUGCGGAUUACGAAUAUCUGUUCGAAUAUCGAUACACCCCCGACUAUCGAAAGUUACACCCCAUCGAAUUCUAUUUUAAUUGGCCUUGGAAAUACAGAUACUGGUUUCAAAACCAACCGUAUAGAAGGCAAUUGUACAAAAUUCUCCGCCUUAGGGAGCUGACUUACUUGAGAUGAGGAAGGAAAGUUACAAAAUUUCGGUGUUAAAUAUGCGAAUAUAUUUCUUUUUUUAGUUUGCGUAUUUUUAUUAACUAUUUUCCAAGGAACCACAUUUACAAUUACAUUGUUGAUGUUGAGCGGUACAAAUUUACACUACAUAAUUUAUUUAUGAUUUAAAAACAAGAUAAUUCAGGCUCAGCUCGAGAUGUUGGAGUUUUGAAGAUUGGAAAAUUAUCCAUUUUCUACGUGGAGGCCUUGGUGGUGAUAGAUAGCACUUGAUCCAUAAUUCUCUGUCUAACAUUUUAUUCCAUAUUUCAAUUUUAUUAUUUAUAAAUCUUUCCUGAAUUAGUGGCCCAAACUAUAAAAGUAUAUUCUACGUUCUACGAAAAUAGUUUUUUAUUAAUAUUUCCGAAACAGGUUUAGAGAAGGUUUUGAAAAUGUAGCGUUUUAGUCACUUUGCCAUGCUGAAUCUGAUUUUAAAAUUACAAAUAUUUUAAUGGGGGUCUUAAAUUUUGAGGGACACAACAAAAACUGCAAUAACUUUUUCGUGGGUUACCUGUUAGACUUUUUUCUUAUAAAAUGAGCCGUUUUCGAGGAAAAUGGAUUUAAAAAAUAUGGUGUUUAAUAUGCCCAUUCGAUUUAUCAAAAAUUAAAAAAAACAUUUUGAUGGAUGAGAAUCCACUGGCGAACUUCUAAAUGAUUUGGAAAGCCUUCGGGUCCAAAAUUGGAUAAUGGUAAUGAAGUAUUCCUUGCAUUCUCAUCAUUAUAUCAAGCCAAAAAUUCAUUUUUUUACUCCUUUCCGGACGCUAGAUUAGUGUACAAAUAGGUAUUUUACAACCUAUUUGUACACUGAUCUAGCGUCCGGAAAGUGUCACUUUACCACGUCAGUUUCGUGUCCCACGGAUUCGAGCCCCUUCGGACAUUUCCGGGAUUUUACCGCACGGAUUUGGGAGCAAUCGGAUGUUUUCGCAGAUUUUUCCGCACGGCUUGAAUUUUGACGUUUGUAAAUUCUGACGAUUAUGUCAGUGAAAAUAUUGUGUUGUUUGGCAAAAAUGUACCCAAAAAUUAACGGCAGUAGAAAGAGUAUAGUAUGCGAUACGUUUGAGUAAUUCGUUUAUUAAACAGUAGCUCCGCUGCGCUCCGCUCGUGCCAAAUUCAUGACUUAAAUGCCAUUUACCGAACUUGUUGCAUAAUAUACUAUUACCUGCGUCAUAGAAUUGGAAAAUAACGUGGAAACUUUUUCGUUUUCGUUUCGAUUGGUAAUUUAUAUAAACACGUCCAUGUGUCCUGGGGUUCUAAGGUUAUUUAAAGAUAUUUAAGGAUUAAAUAAAAAAUUGCUAAUAAUUUCAGUAGAUUUUCAUUGAAUGUAUAAACAAUAUUUAUUUAUUUUUAAAAAUUUAAGGUUUUGGAUUUAUAGAAAAUCCUGGAACCUUCACCAACCUCCUUGAAAAUAUUUUCGAAAGUCAAAACAGAAUUCGUUCAACUCUUAAGAAAAAUUGAGUUAAAUAAACCCUACAUUUUUGAAAACAGGAAAAAAGAUAUUUUUUCUCUGAAUUAAUAUAGAUUGUGGUAUGAAGAAAUAUUUUUUUUUAAUGUUUUUUUCUUUUUGUUCCUAUCGAUUUGAAAAAAUUAAGAAAGAACUACAAAACUCUUAUAUAUGAAAACUUUUGUAUCUCUUGAAAUAAGAAAGUUAAUAGGAAAUGACGGUUAUAAGGGAACACACAGUACAUAUGUUAGAAAAUACUUUUCGAUAUGGUAGUCUGUAUGGAAAUAUUCCUUCGUGCUCCCGCACAGCGACACGCGUAUUACCAUUGCAAUAACAGUAAUUAAAAUUAAAGACACUGUAAAUGAGAAACAUUUUAAUUUUUAAUGAAUAAAUAUGAUGGUAACUCUAUUUCGCAUUAUAAAAGUCCUUUCUGCAACAGCACUGUCUGCCCAUACUACUAUUCUAUAAAACAGUGUUGAGUGCACCACGAAGAGAAUGUGAGUGUCAUCGAGUGAUUAAUUUCGAAGAAUUAAUCAGAAAUGAAAUGUUUGCGGUGGUGUCCUCUGCGAGUUUAUAAUUGACGAAAAUAGUCUCGCCUGGCUUUUGUCCAACGAAGCUUUUCGUUUACUUUUGCAAAAAUUUCGACUACAUUUAUUCACAACGAUCGUAGAGUGCGGUGGUGCGACAACAGUGCCUAAUAAAAUAGGCUAGUGAGUAUUUUUGGGAGUAGGCGUCGGAAAACACUCGUUACAUUGACGCUUGCAGAGAUGUCAUUGAGGGCGCGUUACAAUCCCGUAUAUGGACGCGAGUUAUACUUGGGAGACACCAGAUACGUUCCCGAUUAUCGGCUUCACAGAUCGUACGAAUUUUACGAUUUUUGGCCGAUGAAACUUAAGAUUAGAUUGUGGAAUAGACCGUUCAGACGCUGGCUGACGUCUCCAUCGUUAUUCAGGCAACAGCUUUAUUCCAACAAGAGUGAUCUGAUACUCGAAUCGGCAACUUCGCGAUUGUCCCGUUCCAUCGUUAGAUAUUAGCAUUGCAUUUAUUUUAUUGUAUUCGUAAACAUUAUAUUUGAUUUAAGUUACUGGGUGUUUUUAAUCGGCACGCCCCUGUUGUCAAUUUGGCAAAAUUAGCUGUAUUAAAAUCAAACUUGUCACGUAAAUAGUGAAAUUAUGUUAUUUGUAAUUAACAUCUGUGUGUUAAUGGUAAAAAAUGAAAACAAAAAAAAAACAAAAAAACAGAAUAAUCAAAAAUAAACGAAUAGCUAAAUGAAAAA
Molecule: long non-coding RNA, 3128 nt
Organism: Cylas formicarius (sweet potato weevil)
Lineage: Eukaryota; Metazoa; Arthropoda; Insecta; Coleoptera; Brentidae
Exons: 5
Source: RefSeq, a predicted model, not a curated record